CCAUCCCUCCCAGCCCCUAGUAAAUCUGUCCUUCUUCAGCCCCAGCUCUUGGUGCCUACAGCAAGAAAAUCCUAGGUCAUGUGAGCUGCCAUCACACCAGUCACUGAACAGAACACUGUGAUCUGUUCCCAUAGUGAUCCUCACAAAAGGAGAACAGCUGAGGGAGUGUUGGGUACGUGUGGCUUAUUCAUGUGAUAGCUGUGACUACAUUCAAUAUCACCAAACAUUAGCUGGCUAAGCAUUCACCAACAAUGAGCAAGAUAUUAGCAAAAUAAAUGCUGCUCACCAUGCAGACAAAAAAAUCCAGGUUGGUGAAGUAGAAAAUAAAGCCACACAAUGGCACUAUUAGUACUAAGUGAUGAAGGCUUAAAGACAAAUCUCUUCAUAUAUUUAGGAUGCCAAACAACUGAUAUGAAGUCUCAGAUGAUUUGUCCUAAAGAAUCACAAAGCAAAUGGAGGCAUGGUAAAACUCAAGCAAGCAUCAUUGUUCCCAGAUAGAUUCAAAAUGUAGCUUUUUUUUGCAAGUAGCAAUUUGCCCAUUUCUGCAUUGCAGUGUAUCUCCCACCGCAGGAAACAUACCAUGCUUACAGAUUAAAAAUUUCUAACCACUGAUAUUGGUGAAAAGCAGUACAAAAUUUGUUCUUCUCUGUCUUCUCCCUCUUGUAACCCUUCAGUUUAUAAUGAAUAGCAAUGUGGAACUACAGCUAAGUGGAACAGUCAAGCUGUGAUCUCAGCUAUUAAUACUCAUAAGCAGUGAUUACACAAUGCUAAGUAUUGUCAUUACAACAUGAUUUGCUGCUGUUAGGUUAAAGAACAUACUGCAGAAAACCUUUAAAAAGUCAAAUCAAUAAAAGAGUAUGAUUUCUUUCUUUUUAGUUACAUAGCACAUCAAAAUAAUUUCUAACUUUUUAAAAUUAAUUAUUAAUUUUAGAGAAAGAUAAUUAAUAAGAGCAUUAAACAAUAGAAAAGAAAUAACAAAAUAAUCCCACAGUAUUUUUGCAAUAGUUAUAUGAGUACUGUUAAUUAAGUCUCUGAAAAAAUAAGCUGUAAAUGACAUUCACGUGUAUUAAUUUAUCUCAGUUAUUAAUUAAAUGCUCCCUCCAGGGUCUGAAAAUCCGGUUCAUUGUUUUCAAGUUUCCCUUGAUCUGAAUAAAACCUAGUUCUGACUUUCUACAGUCCUCAUUAUCUUUUCCUCUAAACCUUAAUCAGAUGCACUUUUUCAGAACUUUACAAAGUAGGUGUCUAGCCCAUAAUCAAACCCAUUUGCUUGCCCUACCAGACACAUGUCGAAUACUUCCAAAUAACUUAUGCCCUUUCACAAGUACACUGCUAUUCCUUUCACAGAUCCUCUAGCUUACAAGUCUACUUAAAGAGCACAAUAAGGUUGAAAAAUAAGACAAAACUUUAUAAAAAAACAU
Molecule: long non-coding RNA, 1418 nt
Organism: Prinia subflava (tawny-flanked prinia)
Lineage: Eukaryota; Metazoa; Chordata; Aves; Passeriformes; Cisticolidae
Exons: 4
Source: RefSeq, a predicted model, not a curated record